GACGUAGGGGGCGAGCGUUGUCCGGAUUUAUUGGGCGUAAAGCGUGCGUAGGCGGCUGCGCAAGUCGGUUGUGAAACCCCGGGGCUCAACCCCGGAACUGCAUCCGAUACUGCGUGGCUAGAGGUAGGUAGGGGAGAUCGGAAUUCCUGGUGUAGCGGUGAAAUGCGUAGAUAUCAGGAGGAAUACCGGUGGUGUAGACGGCUCUCUGGACCGCGACUGACGCUGAGACACAAAAGCGUGGGUAGCAAACAGG
RNAcentral lists this ribosomal RNA (253 nucleotides) under uncultured bacterium. RNAcentral's name for it is "partial 16S ribosomal RNA". It matches the Rfam family "Bacterial small subunit ribosomal RNA", at positions 524 to 776 of the family's 1533-position model. The record is from RNAcentral.